UGUCCAGACUCCUACGGGAGGCAGCAGUGGGGGAUAUUGCACAAUGGGGGAAACCCUGAUGCAGCGACGCCGCGUGAGUGAAGAAGUAAUUCGUUACGUAAAGCUCUAUCAGCAGGGAAGAAAAUGACGGUACCUGACUAAGAAGCCCCGGCUAACUACGUGCCAGCAGCCGCGGUCAUACGUAGGAUCCGAGCAUUAUCCGGAGUGACUGGGUGUAAAGAGUUGCGUAGGUGGCAUAAUAAGUAGCUAGUGAAAUCUGGUGGCUCAACCAUUCAGACUAUUAGCUAAACUGUUAAGCUCGAGACCGUUAGGGGUAACUGGAAUUUCUAGUGUAGGAGUGAAAUCCGUAGAUAUUAGAAGGAACACCAAUAGCGUAGGCAGGUUACUGGGACGGUUCUGACACUAAGGCACGAAAGCGUAGGGAGCAAACGGGAUUAGAUACCCGCGUACA
RNAcentral lists this ribosomal RNA (451 nucleotides) under uncultured bacterium. RNAcentral's name for it is "bacterial SSU rRNA". It matches the Rfam family "Bacterial small subunit ribosomal RNA", at positions 328 to 794 of the family's 1533-position model. The record is from RNAcentral.